RNAcentral lists this ribosomal RNA (497 nucleotides) under uncultured bacterium. Its description in RNAcentral is "partial 16S ribosomal RNA". It matches the Rfam family "Bacterial small subunit ribosomal RNA", at positions 28 to 507 of the family's 1533-position model. The record is from RNAcentral.
GAUGAACGCUGGCGGCGUGCCUAAUACAUGCAAGUCGAGCGAACAGACGAGGAGCUUGCUCCUCUGACGUUAGCGGCGGACGGGUGAGUAACACGUGGAUAACCUACCUAUAAGACUGGGAUAACUUCGGGAAACCGGAGCUAAUACCGGAUAACAUGUUGAACCGCAUGGUUCAACAGUGAAAGACGGUCUUGCUGUCACUUAUAGAUGGAUCCGCGCCGCAUUAGCUAGUUGGUAAGAUAACGGCUUACCAAGGCAACGAUGCGUAGCCGACCUGAGAGGGUGAUCGGCCACACUGGAACUGAGACACGGUCCAGACUCCUACGGGAGGCAGCAGUAGGGAAUCUUCCGCAAUGGGCGAAAUCCUGACGGAGCAACGCCGCGUGAGUGAAGAAGGUCUUCGGAUCGUAAAACUCUGUUAUUAGGGAAGAACAAAUGUGUAAGUAACUAUGCACGUCUUGACGGUACCUAAUCAGAAAGCCACGGCUAACUACGUG